GUUCAAGCCAGGCCAAUCAGAGCCCUUCUCUGGGGUUAUGCCUGGAUGUUGGGUGGGGGAAAGGCUCUGUUUCCUCUGGGCCGCUGAAAACCUGGUGCUGCCUUUGGCCGUGGCCUCUCCCUCUGUCUGGCCAUUUGGAAGAAAGGAUGAGCGUGGGCUUCUGACCUUGUGUGAUGGGCACAGACCAGGGUCUCCUACUCAGGUCUGGCUCCUGGAGCUUUCCAGCUGGAAGGGGUGUUACAAGUCAGGAGCAUCGGCCUCAGAGGUGUGGCUUGCUUGCGGCUUUGACAUUUCUGGAGUCCCUCGCCUUAGGAUAUAGCAGCCCAGCUCCUGAGCACAGAUUUCAGAAGU
Molecule: long non-coding RNA, 351 nt
Filed under: Felis catus (domestic cat)
Lineage: Eukaryota; Metazoa; Chordata; Mammalia; Carnivora; Felidae
Description: lncRNA (ENSFCAG00000044960.2)
Source: RNAcentral